CUUUUGAAUUCAUUUUUAGAUGCAAAGAAAAAGGCAACAUUGAAAAGUUUCUAACUCCCAACGGCAAAAGUCAGUCCUCUGGCCCCAAACUUUCCAAUUUUCCAGACACCUGUUGCUGUUGUUCAUGUGAAAAAACGGAAAACAAAUUCUCUUCUAGCCAAUGAGAGGAGGACACGUGUGCAUCGUCGUCAGUUUCCUCCUCCUCCUAGCUGCCGUUAGCGGGGAGUUCGCCGGCGAUUACUCGAAGCUGUCGGGAAUUAUCAUCCCGGGGUUUGCAUCCACCCAACUAAGAGCAUGGUCAAUAUUGGACUGCCCUUAUUCUCCUCUGGAUUUCAAUCCUCUCGAUUUAGUCUGGCUCGACACCACCAAACUUCUUUCUGCUGUGAAUUGCUGGCUGAAGUGUAUGAUGUUGGAUCCUUACAAUCAAACAGAUCAUCGGGAAUGCAAGUCUCGACCUGACAGUGGCCUUUCUGCUAUCACAGAGCUUGAUCCGGGAUACAUUACAGGUCCUCUGUCAUCAGUGUGGAAAGAAUGGGUUAAGUGGUGCAUUGAAUUUGGUAUCGAGGCUAAUGCAAUCAUCGCAGUUCCAUAUGACUGGAGAUUGUCUCCAUCAAAGCUUGAGGAGCGAGAUCUUUACUUUCACAAACUAAAGCUAACUUUUGAAACUGCUCUUAAACUUCGUGGUGGGCCUUCAAUAGUUUUCGCUCAUUCAUUAGGUAACAAUGUCUUUAGAUACUUCUUGGAGUGGUUGAAAUUAGAGAUUGCUCCGAAAGAGUAUAUGCGAUGGCUAGACGAUCACAUUCAUGCCUAUUUUGCUGUUGGAGCUCCUCUUCUUGGUGCUAUUGAGACAGUCAAAGCAACAUUAUCGGGGGCUACAUUUGGUCUUCCUGUUUCUGAGGGGACAGCUCGCCUGAUGUUCAAUACUUUUGGAUCUUCUAUGUGGAUGUUGCCAUUUUCAAAAUAUUGUACAACAGAUAAUGUGUACCGGAGGCAUUUCUCUGGCGGAAACCGGGAAAACCAUCACGCCUACCAUUGCGAUGAGCAUGAGCUUCAAUCAAACUAUUCUGGCUGGCCAACAAACAUAAUCAAUAUUGAAGUUCCUUCAAUUCGAGGGGAUGAGGCUUAUCCAUCAUUUGUAGAAAUUGCCCAAGCUAACUUGUCGGGAAUGGAAUGUGGAUUUCCGACGCAAUUGUCCUUUUCUGCUCGUGAAGUCUCUGAUGGGACCUUUUUCAAAGCCAUAAAGGAUUAUGAUCCUGAUAGCGAAAGGCUCUUGCACCUUUUACAAAAGUCUUACCAUGAUGAUCCGAUUUUAAAUCCUCUAACACCUUGGGAAAGACCACCUCUCAAGAACAUAUUCUGCAUUUAUGGCAUAGAUUCGAAGACUGAGGUUGGUUACUAUUUUGCACCCAGUGGGAAGCCUUAUCCUGAUAAUUGGAUUAUAACAGAUGUGAUAUAUGAAAUUGAAGGAUCUCUGUAUUCACGGUCAGGAAAUCUGGUUGAAGGAAACCCAGGUGCAACAAGUGGGGAUGAGACGGUGCCAUACCAUUCACUCUCCUGGUGCAAGAAUUGGCUGGGGCCAAAAGUGAACAUAACAAGGACACCACAGUCAGAGCAUGAUGGCUCAGAUGUACAAGUGCAUCGAAAUAUAGAGCAUCAACAUGGCGAAGAUAUCAUCCCCAAUAUGACAAGGUUACCUACGGUGAAGUACAUAACCUAUUAUGAGGAUUCUGAAAGUUUUCCAGGAAAGAGAACAGCAGUUUGGGAGCUCGAUAAAGUCGUAAGCAUUUGACAGGGGACAGAUUUAAGACAUGGUACAUCGUUUUAUACCUCAAAUCAAUCUUGCAUAUAUAAUGUUCAGCUUCCAUAUGAUGCAAGAUUAAAGAUCUUGUCCAACUGCAUUGAAUAAAUUCGGAACAUUGUCAGAUCUCCAGUUUUGAUGCGGGAGCUGUGGCUUGAGAUGUGGCAUGAUAUUCAUCCUGAUAAAAAGUCUAACUUUGUUACUAAAGCAAAGCGUGGGCCUCUGAGGGAUGAGGACUGCUAUUGGGAUUAUGGGAAAGCCCGAUGCGCAUGGCCUGAACAUUGUGAAUACAGGUAACAGUGUUUCAAUUAAAUUUUGCAAAAUAAUAUUCUCCUUCUGUAUUUAGGCCACCUUUCUCCGGUUACGAUGAUGCAGAUAUUUAUUCGGGGAUGUUCACCUGGGGCAGAGUUGCAGAUUGAAGAAUUCUACAUAUGAUCUCCUGUCGCACUAUGUAUGAUUUUUAAGAAAGCAGAUGUACAUUCCACAAAUAUUAGAAGAACAAGGGCUAAUGAUUCAGAGAGCAAAGACUGGAUGUUCGUCUGGACUGCGUUGCAUCCAACUUUGUCUGUGUAUCAUAAACUAGAGUUUGAUCACCUGUACAUCCAAAUGGAAGAAAUUUUGUAGAGUAUCAAAUGUAGCACCAGAACAUGUUCCACAUUAGAGUGUAAUUACAACGGAGAGUCAAGAUAGCUCUAUUCAUUUUAAGGAAGACUAUGAUGAUCAUUUAUAUGCAUUGGUGUUUUGACGCCAAAGUUGAUCACACGUCUGAAAAUGUAAUCCAUAUAUUGAGAUUCCACUGGUUAUUUAGUUUUGACUAUAUUUAGAUAAUGGAAUUACACAAUCCAAGACUUUGCAUGGAUGAA
Molecule: non-coding RNA, 2661 nt
Organism: Nicotiana tabacum (common tobacco)
Lineage: Eukaryota; Viridiplantae; Streptophyta; Magnoliopsida; Solanales; Solanaceae
Source: RefSeq, a predicted model, not a curated record